This is a long non-coding RNA of Triticum urartu, 4753 nucleotides long. RefSeq lists it as uncharacterized. Lineage: Eukaryota; Viridiplantae; Streptophyta; Magnoliopsida; Poales; Poaceae. The record is from RefSeq and is a predicted model, not a curated record.
AAAUGGAUAAAAAUAAAAACAGGGGGUAUGUAGCCUCUUUGCCGUCUGCUAGCGGACGACAAAGAGGACACGUGGCAGCUACCUGUAAAACCUGGGAAACACUGGCUGCCUAUUUGGUCACUUCUGCUGGCAGACGGCAAAGAUUCAAAUCACUUUGCCGUCCGCUAGUAGACGGCAUAACUAGCCACGUGGCAGCUCUCCAGUACUGCCUAGCUGAGCACUUUGCCGUCUGUCAGCGGGUGGCAAAGAGCUUUGACUCUUUGCCGUCUACUAGCUGACGGCAAAGAGCGUCGUUAAUCCCCUAACGGCACUCACGCCACUGCACUACCGUCCGUUGUCAUUGCCGUCUGCUGGCCUCGGAUGGCGGAAGGCAAAAUCCUUUGCCGUCCGUUUCCAGGAAGCAGACGGCAAAGAAGGCCAUUGCUGGCACGUGUUCAGACGGACAGUUUGCUGUCUGUUGGCGGACGACAAAGACGUUUGCCCUCCGUGAUCCAUGCCUUUGCCGUCCGCCAUGGAGGACGGCAAAUAAGCUGAUUCCAGUACUGUAUGGACACUGGAGGGGACUAGGUUUAUACAAAGUUGAUUACGUAGAAAGGAAAUAGUAUCUCCGGCCGUAUGGCUUGCUGUCCACGCAAAGAAGACUCCCAUCCAGACACGGAAAAAAGACUUCCAUCUUGUAUCUUCAUGGCCCAAUAAUCCGGCACAUGUCCAAUAGGUUGGAGACCCGAGGACCCCUUAGUCCAGGACUCCCUCAACCGUCUUCCCUCCAUCGUUGGAGAUGCCCGCCAUCAGCGGGAGCGCGGCAGCAAGGUGCUUCUCCUUAGUGAUGGACGAUGCACUAAGGCCCAGCUCUAACAAGGGAGCUUGGCCUAUGGAAGGAACAGGAGGUCGCCUUUUUGGUGGCCAUCAGUGGUUAGCUUCUGGAAAAGAUUCGGCAGAUAUGGAGGCUCUCUGACCAGAGGAAGAAGGGUAUCCGGAGCAAGACAAAGGGAAGGCAAUGAAGGCUCAACGGCAGGCACCAGCCUUUUGUCAGCCCGGGACGGCUGCUGAGGCAGCAUGGGGAAGUGAAGACGCCCACGUCCCGUCAAGCGCCACACGUCGACCGAGGCUGCAGGCAGUUAGGGCCCGCGGUGCUCCACACUUGCCCUUUGGCUUCGCCUCGAAGCCAAGUUCGAGCGUGCCUUGGGCCCAGGGGCUACUGUCGGCGUUCUGGGAACGGGGGUACCAGACUUGCCUGCCUGCGGCCCAUGGCGUGGCUCCAUUGACGGCUUGGUACGGCCCACCAUCAGCAUUGACAACUCAAGAACUGCGCGAUGGGCUAAGCCUCGCGAGGCGGACAACACCAAGACCUCUAGAAUGAGCGGCCACCUUAGGUAGGCUCCUGAGGAGCAAAGAUUCCUAUGCAAGCUUCACCUCGUGAGGUCCAGGUUACGUGAGCCUUGACGACCAAGGCCAGUCAGGCACCAGCGGCCGACAGUACAACAGUUUCCUCUUUGGUGCUAAGGAGGCAAGCGCUGGCGAGGAGUCCCGAGGAAUCAGCCAAAGGUUUCCAUUCCCGUGCAACAAGACUAGGACCGCCAGGACGGCAGGACGGAGGUCAUUGACGAGCCCACCCUGGUGUCACAACCAGAAGCAUUGCAGGCGAAGACUACUUUUGUUAGGAUAAGAUGUACUAGUUGUCUCCCUUCAAAUUUUGCCGUUGUGGGAUCCCUUCCCGCCUUCAUUUGGGAAGAGGAUCAAAGCCACUAUAAAUAGGGCAGCACCACCACCGUAGAGAGGGAUAGGAUCCAUUCCAUCCUCACACCCACCAGCUCAGUUGAGCACAAGAACACAAUUCCUCCUGAGGUUGUUCUCCCACUGUACUAGUUCAUCACCAGCCCCUCGAGGCCAAUCCACCACAAAGCAGGAGUAGGGUUUUACACCGCAAGGUGCCCAAACCUGGGUAAUCUGCUGUGUCUCAUUUCCUUCCUAUUCAUCGAGCUAGGCCGGGAGAUUGGAGAGUAGGCAGACUGGGGAGGUUGAGUUCUUCGCACGCACCCCAGGGUUUGAAUCUAUCCAGGGUCUGCGGAGUCUAAAAUCCGACAGGGACCAAUAAACUAGGAGGGAGGUAGUAGUACGAGUAGCGCAAUAUACAGUAUAGAGGACUAGUACAAAUUUAGAAAUGGAGUAAGAAGUUACAAGGUUGUGUGACAGACUUUGUAGGCUACAUGACUAAUUGGAUAACACUUCCACCAACAAGUACACACUUGAAGCCUAAUUGAUGUGUGUGUGUGUGUAUAUAUAUAUAUAUAUAGGUAAAUUGUUUGGGGCACUUAGGUGCCCAGACACCUAGCAUUUAAUAGCUCGCAUGUCCACCCAUUUGUAUUUAUUGAUUUGAAUAGAAUUAAAACACACAUUAAUUGGUGGAGAGAGAAUGGCAGAAUAAAAAGGAAACGGAUAUACUAUGUACGCACAAUGUGACUCGUCGGCUUUUGGAUUUUUUCUACGCACAGAUAAUUAAAUGUAUACAUAAUAGUUGAUACCAUUCUAAGAUAUUCAUGAAAAAAUAUUUUUAUUAUCUAUAUCAACAAAUUGUGCGUCGACUCCAAAUAAUAUAAAUAUACCCAUGGUAUAUAUACCUACUAAUGAAAUUAUGUACAUACACGGGUACGUAUAUAUCCAAUUAUUUAUUCUAGGUUUUAGGUAUUAAAGAAAUUAUAUAGAUAGCGAAUAUGUAUAUACCUACUAACGAAAUUAUGUACAUACGUGGGUAUACAUAUAUCUUCGAACGAAAUUAUAUACAUACCCCUGCAAAAAAAGAAAUUAUAUACAUACACGGGUAUGCGUAUACCUACCAAAGAAAUUAUGUACAUAUGCGGGUAUGCAUAUACCCUAACGAAAUUAUGUACAUACGCGGGUAUGCAUAUACCAACUAACAAAAUUAUGUAUAUAUGCGCGCGCCUUGAAAAAAGGUACAUGUACGGGUAUGUGUAUGUGUAUACCCAAUUAGAUGGUGGGUAUGUGUAUACCUACUGCGAAAGUUACGUAACAUACAUGUGUAUUUUACAUACGUAGUGAUUUAUUCUACGAAUCAAUAAGUGGUAUAUAAGGAGGUAAUAAAUGUUGAUUUUUUUUUACUAUGGUAUUUUAAUCACCUUCCUUUUCUAUGAUGUGACAUACAUGCAUGAAACAGUUAAAGAAUUAAAGCCUGCCAAAUUAAGUAGUAAUUAAAUCAUUUACAUUGGUUUCUAAAUCUGUCGCUAAACACGAUCUAACGAUGGAUAAGCAAGAUGCCCGGGCAUCUAGGUGUCCCAAACUGGUGUCCUAUAUAUAUAUUGACACUAUUCUAAUCCUGGAAUUAGAAUAACUAUUUAGAUCACGAGGUGCUAUAUAGGAGCAGCGGGUGUUCCGAACUUACAGAAAGAAGAAAAAAAAAAGAAAUCCCACCCCGAACCCCACGUUCCCCACCUCUCCCUCCUCGCUCUCUCCCUGAUCCCUGCCGCCGCCAUUCCCGCCUCCGCAUCGCCAUCUACCUCAAUCCACCCCGCACGCCGGCGCCGCCGUGACCCUCGCACCUCCCCACGCGCCACCGCUGCUCCACUCCGCCUCACCAGCUACCUACCUCUCCCCCACCCGAGUCCUGCUUCCUACUGCCGCCACGCGGAUCUAGCCGCCGUACAGGAUCCCGCCGCCGCGUUUGUCGCUUGCUGGGCCCGAGGACGCGUCGGAAGCUGACCCGUCCGUGAUCUCCGGCCAACGAGGCGCGGUGGCCACCCCUCCCCCUGUUUCCACGGCGCUCGACCCGGAUGCCCGUCGCCGGCGCUCCUCCUCCCCGACCCCUUCUUCCCUGAUCCACCCCGCCUCCACCUCCGGUGACGCGGUCCACCAGUCUCCUUCCCCGGUGCGAGCCACCAGCCUGACCCUCGUCGGCGUGAUGCCCCUGCGCGCCGUCGUGGCACAGGCCCCCACCAGGGAUCCAGCCGCGACGUACUACUCAAAAGCAAAAGACAACGAUGAGAUUCUCUCCUUCGGCGCUGGCGUGGUCGCUCUCGGCUACCUACUGUGUAAAGGACAUUCAUAGGCCACAAAUCCAGCGGAUGCUAGCACGUAGGAAGUGGUGCUGCCGCGUUCAACAGAAAAAAUUUAGCAGUUCCACCGAUACAUGCCUGGAAGGAAACUUCGUAUGAGCACAAGUCACAGCACCACUACAGCGAGUCUCCGGCUUCUAAGGGAGUCGACGAGGUCACCUGGGCUCCUGCGAGAAGGGUGACAGGGUCAGCAAGAAUGCAGAUAUCGCCAAGAUGGCCAGAAUUGGUGCGGCUUGAUUUGGCUCACUACAGCGGCUCCUCUCCUCUGUUGCUCUUGCCGGCCAAGCCAAGCUGGACAUGGAUGUGUGGGUGUGCAUGCUCACUGUGAAGUACGUUCUAGGCGACCUCUUUCAGUUUGAUAUGUGUGCUCACUGUGUGGGUCGCCAUCUCUCUAUCCUGCCAAGCUACACCAGCACUUGUUGUUUCCUCUCCCUGCUGCAAUCAGUGUUGUGAGGGACGGAUAAGAUGGAGGCAUGGAGCUGGCGACUGGAUAUGGGAAGGGAGCUGCUACUGCACUUGGUCUGCUUGACAGCUGCCGUUGUGCCUGUACUUGGACAGCUGCAAAUAGUGCAACCGAACGUCCGUGUGUGUUUUUGGCAUCCCAUUUUUACAAUUGAUGCUAAUGAACAUUCGUCCACGGUCUUUUGUAGUGUUGCUAUCUACUAGAAAAAAUCAUUGAUUUUCAA